CGAACAAAAAUCACAUCUUCGUCAUUUUUAUAUUGUUUUGAAGUGAAAAUGAAGAAAGGACCUUUUCGACUGAAACCGCUCCAUCUGCCAAAACAAUCACACGAUUAAUGAAUAUGAAUUGUUUUUGGAUAUCGAGCUGAUUGGAAAAAAAAACAAAACAUUUUCUCAUUUGUCUGGAGAAACCCGUCUCUGACAUUUCUACCUUCACCCUGACACAGAGAAUAUGAGGGAAGAUGACACGGACGCUGUUGUUUCUACUGCUCGUCACUUUGAUCAUGUGAUUUUUAAACGCUGAACUGAUUCCCAUCGACUUUCACUGCAGAUUAAACCGACGUGUGACACGUUCCCUUCGCUUCAGUGUCUCUCACUCUUUCCAUUUGUCUGCUGGAGUCACACUACAGUGUGAAAGCAUGUGGUUCGUGUUCAUGCAGCUGUGGCCACAUCAUCAGCAUCUUACGAAUUUCCUCAAACCCCUUCCAGCUCUGAUGUGACGGCUCUGGUGCCACAUCACAGCGCUCUGACGGGGCAGCACCUCAGUUCUGUAACAGCAGCCCCUUCCCUUCAUUAUGACAUCUGCUUCAGUUUACAGUUAAACAGCCCACGCUGACCGGCCUCACAGGCACUUUGCAGAUUUAUUCUCCUCUGGCAUGAAAAGAGCAAAGAUGACGAAGCAGCGGAACGGUUAGUGUGAGUUAAUCCUGCAGAGCUUUUUGAUUUGAAUUCAACUCUGAAACUUUAUCAAUAAUCUGUUUCUGCUGAGAAGCCUGAGUGCGAGCCGAGAGCCGGCCUCACUGAUGUUCCAGGACGAGGACCUGAGCCAAGCUGUGUGAUCUCAGACCACUGACCACACCACACUCCGCUGUUUCACUUCCUUGACAACAAAUGACACACAAACCUGCGGCCACAUUUACACGUUUCCAGAUUUAUGGUGUAAAUAAAUGAUCGUUCGACUGGCGCUGGUGAAGCGCCGAUAAUUACACGAGCCAGUGCAGCGAUAUUCUGAUUUACUGCCUCAAACACUCACCGCCACCACACCAGGCUAACAAUAACACCACGCUGUUACACUCGCACUCCAGCCACUCGCUUGCAUUUGUUCCAUGAGUCCUCCGAAC
Long non-coding RNA from Seriola aureovittata, 1112 nucleotides. RefSeq lists it as uncharacterized. Lineage: Eukaryota; Metazoa; Chordata; Actinopteri; Carangiformes; Carangidae. The transcript is spliced from 3 exons. The record is from RefSeq and is a predicted model, not a curated record.